Molecule: long non-coding RNA, 471 nt
Organism: Photinus pyralis (common eastern firefly)
Lineage: Eukaryota; Metazoa; Arthropoda; Insecta; Coleoptera; Lampyridae
Exons: 3
Source: RefSeq, a predicted model, not a curated record
AAUUAAAACGGCGAAUCUAGUAAUUGAAUGCGUUUUACAACUCACAACAUGUUUCGAAACAUAGCAUGAAAUUGCUUAGAAUCUAAUCCUCCACUUAACAAAAUUUAUUAAACUUGCAAUUCGUCUCGCGAUAACCUUCUGUUUUCACACGAUUAAAACUUAGAUUAGAACGUAAUCUUCACAUUUUAAAUACUGGUUUUAAGCGCUUCUCUAAUCGAAUUUUUGGGCAGGUUAAUGAAUACAAUCUCACGGUUCUGAGCAAUAAUAAUUGUAUUCAUAGAAUGUGUCGUUAUGCACUGUAAUGAAGAUCAAGGUUGCAAAACUGGUGGUAAUUGACUUUGAUUUGUAAGCCAUUAAAUCCCGAAUUCCUGAUAUACUGUUGAUUAUCAUGUAAUAAUAAUAUGGUUGAGACACCACCAAACACAAACAUAUUUUCAAAAACAUGAGAAUUAACUAAUAAAUAUUUACCUG